Molecule: unclassified non-coding RNA, 336 nt
Filed under: soil metagenome
Description: partial contains 5.8S ribosomal RNA, internal transcribed spacer 2, and large subunit ribosomal RNA
Rfam family: 5.8S ribosomal RNA (bases 1-120)
Source: RNAcentral
GAUGAAGAACGUAGCGAAAUGCGAUACGUAGUGUGAAUUGCAGAAUCCAGUGAAUCAUCGAAUCUUUGAACGCACAUUGCGCCCGCCGGCAUCCCGGCGGGCAUGCCUGUUCGAGCGUCAUUUCAACCAUCAAGCCCCAGGCUUGUGUUGGGGACCUGCGGCUGCCGCAGGCCCUGAAAACCAGUGGCGGGCUCGCUGUCACACCGGGCGUAGUAGAUUUUAUCUCGCUCAGGGCGUGCUGCGGGUUCCGGCCGUUAAAAAGCCUUUUUUACCCAAGGUUGACCUCGGAUCAGGUAGGAAGACCCGCUGAACUUAAGCAUAUCAAUAAGCGGAGGA